GUCAUUUUGGUGAAAAUAAUGAUUUUCCCAAUGAAUGAAUGAAUGAGUGUGAAUGCGAAAUAAUCUGUGAUAAGCAAAGUAUAAAAAAAACACAUAAUAUUAAAAUUGUAAUGUUGCAUCAUACAGUCAAGUCCACCACCUGUAAGAACUCCAUCUGAGGAGAAGAAGAGAGAACAAGAAAGAAGAGAGAAAGAAAUGGGUGCUCUUCAAGUACGUCAUGAAUUGCCAGAGGCAUCAGGAGCAGCAGCAGCAGAAGACCGACCGGACACAAGCUCAGACCAAUCUUCAAUGAAGUGUUUCAAAGAAACACAAGAGAUGCUGACUGAAGCACUGAAACCUGUGCGACGUAACAGCAACGAAUUCAAUCCCCCUAACAUGCCUGAAAGUGAGGCCAAACCUCCAGCUACUCCCUGAACAGACCACGAUUGGCAAGUUGUAGGAUUCUCCAGGUUUCCAGUGAAG
Molecule: long non-coding RNA, 462 nt
Filed under: Sinocyclocheilus grahami
Lineage: Eukaryota; Metazoa; Chordata; Actinopteri; Cypriniformes; Cyprinidae
Description: lncRNA (ENSSGRG00000021973.1)
Source: RNAcentral